UGUGCCCUACGGGGCGCAGCAGUGAGGAAUAUUGGUCAAUGGCCGGAAGGCUGAACCAGCCAAGCCGCGUGAAGGACGAAGGUGCCAAGCAUUGUAAACUUCUUUUGUCAAGGGACAAAAUCAGGCUCGAGAGCCUGACCGAGGGUACUUGAAGAAAAAGCUCCGGCUAACUACGUGCCAGCAGCCGCGGUAAUACGUAGGGAGCGAGCGUUGUCCGGAAUUACUGGGUGUAAAGGGAGCGUAGGCGGGACGGCAAGUCAGAUGUGAAAACU
RNAcentral lists this ribosomal RNA (272 nucleotides) under uncultured bacterium. Its description in RNAcentral is "partial 16S ribosomal RNA". It matches the Rfam family "Bacterial small subunit ribosomal RNA", at positions 333 to 602 of the family's 1533-position model. The record is from RNAcentral.